CUGUCCGUGGCAGGGGGUUGGAACUGGAUGAGCUUUAAGGUCCCUUCCAACCAAAACUAUUCUAUAUGGUCCUAUGAGACAUCAUCCAAAAGACAGAGCCAGGCUCUUCGCAGCAGUGUGUGGUGGGAGGACAAGCGUAGGAUGAAACAGGAGAGGAUCAGACUGGGUAUCAGGAGAAGCAUUUUUGGCCCAAGGACACCAGUUAGUGGAGUUUGCUGCCCAGAGAGUUUGUGUAGUUUCUAUGCUUGGACGUUUUCAAGACCAGAGUGUAUAAAUGUGAACACUGCUGUGAUCUCAGAGAUGCAGCUUGGAGUAUCUCUGGACUGGAGACCUGUCCAAGGUGCCUUCUGACCUGAAGUCUGUGCUGGUGUGAAGUGGGAGAAGAGGCCAAAGGGACAUGCCGCUUCUGGUGCUUUAUUCUUGCCUGUGUCCCUGUGAGCUUGGGGGAAGGUCACUGGUAUUGAAGCCUGGUUUAUUUUCUUGUCUCGCUUUGGAUGAGUGGGAGAGGCAGGAUUUGGAAAUACUUAUGCAACCUGCCCUGUUUGUAUGAUGCUUGCACCGAGCUGGUGACACUUCUAUAGCCUUGGAGGGUUAGAAGUGUGAAUCAGAGGCUGUUUUCCUCCACUCAUGCUCCUAUAGAAACCUGAGAGAUGUGUAAAGUCCCUGUUCCAAGUGCUUUUGUGGUGGUGUGCUGCAACCUUCCCGCCGGUCCAGCCUACCAGCCCUUGCCUAGCUCUGCAGGAGUGAGUCAGCUCAAUCAACAGCAUCUCCUCACCCAGGCUUCAGGACAUGGAGGCCCUUAUCCCAACUGUGCCCUUCUAACAGUUCAACUGCCAGAGCGAUGCUGUGUGGUUCCUGACCUCCUGCACC
Long non-coding RNA from Strigops habroptila (Kakapo), 870 nucleotides. RefSeq lists it as uncharacterized. The record is from RefSeq and is a predicted model, not a curated record. Lineage: Eukaryota; Metazoa; Chordata; Aves; Psittaciformes; Psittacidae. The transcript has 2 exons.